Molecule: ribosomal RNA, 468 nt
Filed under: uncultured bacterium
Lineage: Bacteria
Description: partial 16S ribosomal RNA
Rfam family: Bacterial small subunit ribosomal RNA
Source: RNAcentral
GACGAACGCUGGCGGCGUGCUUAACACAUGCAAGUCGAACGGAAAGGCCCUGCUUUUGUGGGGUGCUCGAGUGGCGAACGGGUGAGUAACACGUGAGUAACCUGCCCUUGACUUUGGGAUAACUUCAGGAAACUGGGGCUAAUACCGGAUAGGAGCUCCUGCUGCAUGGUGGGGGUUGGAAAGUUUCGGCGGUUGGGGAUGGACUCGCGGCUUAUCAGCUUGUUGGUGGGGUAGUGGCUUACCAAGGCUUUGACGGGUAGCCGGCCUGAGAGGGUGACCGGCCACAUUAGGACGGAGAUACGGCCCAGACUCCUACGGGAGGCAGCAGUGGGAAAUAUUGCACAAUAGGCGGAAGCCUGAUGCAGCAACGCCGCGUGCGGGAUGACGGCCUUCGGGUUGUAAACCGCUUUCGCCUGUGACAAGGCGUGAGUGACGGUAAUGGGUAAAGAAGCACCGGCUAACUACGUG